Small nucleolar RNA from Euleptes europaea (tarantolino), 320 nucleotides. NCBI's taxonomy places the organism in Eukaryota, Metazoa, Chordata, Lepidosauria, Squamata, Sphaerodactylidae. The record is from RefSeq and is a predicted model, not a curated record.
GCUUCAUGAUGAGAUCAAGGCAAGUGUGAUCCCACCGGCCGGCUGCUCCAGCAACCUGUUCCCUUCAUACGGGUCUGUAAUCUUGGUGGACAAUGCGAAGCAGUGCGUGUUCGCUGUAAGGGCAGACCGACAGGAUAAUCCCGUCCCUUGCAGCCUCCGCUCGAGAGGGGCUGCCCGCUUCUUUGCAGAGCAGGCAUCUGGCGGGCCAGGGGUACGGGUACAGGGCAAGCCUAGCGUGUCCGGGCUAUAGGUUGCUGCGAGUGGCCGAAAUUGUGGCUGUUGGGACAUCGUGAGCUCAAUUCUUUGGUAAUCUGAAAGCG